GGCUUCGUGGUGUAGCGGUAACAUGUCCUCUGUUGAUAGCUCCAUGGUACUGGUAUUUGAGGAAGUCCCUUGUUCAAAUCAAGGUGAGGCCU
Mycena leptocephala is the source of this 92-nucleotide non-coding RNA. NCBI's taxonomy places the organism in Eukaryota, Fungi, Basidiomycota, Agaricomycetes, Agaricales, Mycenaceae. The record is from the annotation of a GenBank genome assembly.